AGGCUAUGAUGAGAAAAGUCAUGCACCACUCUGAAGAGAUUUCUCUUUGUGCUGAUAAACAAACUUACAACCCAUUUUACAUCUGAGCCG
This 90-nucleotide small nucleolar RNA is filed under the name Triticum urartu. RNAcentral's name for it is "Small nucleolar RNA Z221/R21b". It matches the Rfam family "Small nucleolar RNA Z221/R21b". From Rfam's summary of the family: Z221 is a member of the C/D class of snoRNA which contain the C (UGAUGA) and D (CUGA) box motifs. Lineage: Eukaryota; Viridiplantae; Streptophyta; Magnoliopsida; Poales; Poaceae. The record is from Rfam by way of RNAcentral.